RNAcentral lists this ribosomal RNA (302 nucleotides) under uncultured bacterium. RNAcentral's name for it is "partial 16S ribosomal RNA". It matches the Rfam family "Bacterial small subunit ribosomal RNA", at positions 508 to 809 of the family's 1533-position model. The record is from RNAcentral.
GCAGCCGCCGCGGUAAUACGUAGGUGGCAAGCGUUGUCCGGAAUUAUUGGGCGUAAAGCGCGCGCAGGUGGUUUAAUAAGUCUGAUGUGAAAGCCCACGGCUCAACCGUGGAGGGUCAUUGGAAACUGUUAAACUUGAGUGCAGGAGAGAAAAGUGGAAUUCCUAGUGUAGCGGUGAAAUGCGUAGAGAUUAGGAGGAACACCAGUGGCGAAGGCGGCUUUUUGGCCUGUAACUGACACUGAGGCGCGAAAGCGUGGGGAGCAAACAGGAUUAGAUACCCCUGUAGUCCCUGUCUCUUAUAA